UACGGGGGGGGCAAGCGUUGUUCGGAAUUACUGGGCGUAAAGGGCUCGUAGGCGGCCAAUUAAGUCAGACGUGAAAUCCCUCGGCUUAACCGGGGAACUGCGUCUGAUACUGGAUGGCUUGAGAUUGGGAGAGGGAUGCGGAAUUCCAGGUGUAGCGGUGAAAUGCGUAGAUAUCUGGAGGAACACCGGUGGCGAAGGCGGCAUCCUGGGCCAACACUGACGCUGAGGAGCGAAAGCCAGGGGAGCAAACGGG
RNAcentral lists this ribosomal RNA (253 nucleotides) under uncultured bacterium. RNAcentral's name for it is "partial 16S ribosomal RNA". It matches the Rfam family "Bacterial small subunit ribosomal RNA", at positions 524 to 776 of the family's 1533-position model. The record is from RNAcentral.